Molecule: transfer-messenger RNA, 354 nt
Filed under: Dehalococcoidia
Lineage: Bacteria; Bacillati; Chloroflexota
Description: UBA9611 sp022451925 Standard tmRNA
Rfam family: transfer-messenger RNA
About the family: Bacterial tmRNA, also known as 10Sa RNA or SsrA, is named for its dual tRNA and mRNA-like properties. Its role is to liberate the mRNA from a stalled ribosome.
Source: RNAcentral
GGGGACGCGCGGGUUCGACAGGGGCGUUCUGUAGCGGAUUGCAAGCCGAGGAUGCUAUCUCCCUCGUAAAUCCGGUAGCAAAAACAAUUGGCGAACGUGAAUUCGCUCUAGCUGCCUAAAGCGGCUUCGUCUACUCCCCGGUAUUCCCGGAGUCAGGGAGACUAGGCGCCAUAAAUCUGGGAUGCGGACCGCCCGAUGCCGGUAACGGCGGCUUAAGAAAAACUGGCUGUCCCCGUAGAGGUUUUGUUGGUGGUACCUUAAAGGGGCGAGGAACAAACAACCGAAUAAGCUUGUAGUAUAUCCGAUCUAUGGUCUCUUCUGGACGGGGAGUUCGACUCUCCCCCGUCUCCACCA